GGACUUGUAGCUCAGGUGGUUAGAGCGCACGCCUGAUAAGCGUGAGGUCGGAGGUUCGAGUCCUCCCAGGUCCA
RNAcentral lists this transfer RNA (74 nucleotides) under Peptoniphilus sp. oral taxon 386 str. F0131. It matches the Rfam family "tRNA". From Rfam's summary of the family: Transfer RNA (tRNA) molecules are approximately 80 nucleotides in length. Their secondary structure includes four short double-helical elements and three loops (D, anti-codon, and T loops). Further hydrogen bonds mediate the characteristic L-shaped molecular structure. tRNAs have two regions of fundamental functional importance: the anti-codon, which is responsible for specific mRNA codon recognition, and the 3' end, to which the tRNAs corresponding amino acid is attached (by aminoacyl-tRNA synthetases). tRNAs cope with the degeneracy of the genetic code in two manners: having more than one tRNA (with a specific anti-codon) for a particular amino acid; and 'wobble' base-pairing, i.e. permitting non-standard base-pairing at the 3rd anti-codon position. Lineage: Bacteria; Bacillati; Bacillota; Tissierellia; Tissierellales; Peptoniphilaceae. The record is from Rfam by way of RNAcentral.